GGGGGUGUAGCUCAUAUGGUAGAGCGCUCGCUUUGCAUGCGAGAGGCACGCUUUGCAUGCGAGAGGCACGGGGUUCGAUUCCUCGCACCUCCA
This is a transfer RNA of Ipomoea nil (Japanese morning glory), 93 nucleotides long. It matches the Rfam family "tRNA". Rfam says of the family: Transfer RNA (tRNA) molecules are approximately 80 nucleotides in length. Their secondary structure includes four short double-helical elements and three loops (D, anti-codon, and T loops). The record is from Rfam. NCBI's taxonomy places the organism in Eukaryota, Viridiplantae, Streptophyta, Magnoliopsida, Solanales, Convolvulaceae.